RNAcentral lists this ribosomal RNA (285 nucleotides) under Helminthosporium sp. MPSi3. RNAcentral describes it as "partial 18S ribosomal RNA". The stretch from base 1 to 196 matches the Rfam family "Eukaryotic small subunit ribosomal RNA", at positions 370 to 594 of the family's 1831-position model. Lineage: Eukaryota; Fungi; Ascomycota; Dothideomycetes; Pleosporales; Massarinaceae. The record is from RNAcentral.
AUGGUUUCUGGUAUUCAGAGUUAGCCUGAGAAACGGCUAACACCAAGGAAGCAGCAGCAAAUUACCAAUCCUGACAGGGAGGUAGUGACAAUAAAUACUGAUGGGCUCUUUGGGUCUUGUAAUCGGAAUGAGUACAAUUAAACCUCUCGAGGAAAUUGGAGGGAAGUCUGGUGCCAGCAGCCGGUAAUCACUCCAAAGCGGCCACACGCGUGACUUGUCCCCGGGCCUUUCUUCUAACCGCAUGCCCUUCACUGGUGUGUUCCAGGAUAAUACUUAAAAAAUUAG